UCCCAGUCGUGGCCCGGUUUGCUGUAGGUUUUUGCGUUGGGUGUUUGUGUUUCUUCAGCGUCCUGCUUCUCAUCGGGUGCUGACUGUAUUCAGUGUGUCUGUUUUAUACAAUUCGGUUGGUUGUGGCCAACAACUAAUUAGAAAAACCACCUGCUUCCCUCGUGUGAACUGUCAAUGGUCGACUAAACAAGUUUGCUGUGUAGUGUAAAAUCUUGUCGAUAAUUCUAAUUACUGCAACCAUUGCACAGCAUUUUAUAUGACGUCACUUCAAGGAAAUCUGGCCCAAUCUCGUAACCCAGUCCCUGCGUCCCAAUGAGUCCCAGUCAGAUGGGAAUGUGUAAUGAGAUGUUACAGUAAAGGGGUUUCGCUUCUCUCAAAACGAAAGCUAUAUAGCCUACUAUCCGCUACGAGGAGCGGCACAGCGCAGCCAUCCAAUGUGGUGCAGCCAGUCGCUCAUUGGAUAGGAAACAGCUUUCUAUUCUGGGGAAACCGAUCCCCAUCCCUUUAUAAAGUAGAGUAGAGAGGCUUCCGAGUCAAUUCAAAUCUAGUCUCGCAAAGCCAGACCAUACUACAGCAAUCAAAUCCAAACCAUGGGGCUACUAACAGGAGCGGCACUAGCAACAGUCUGUGGAGGCGGGGCCGUGUUUGCGGCUCCGUUUGUCCUGGGGGUCGUUGGGUUCACCUCGGCAGGGAUCGCGGCGGGGUCCAUUGCCUCAAGUCUGAUGUCGACAGCUGCCGUCGCCAACGGAGGCGGGGUUGCAGUAGGCAGUAUGGUGGCUUUGCUGCAGUCAGCAGGUGUGCUUGGUCUUGGAGCAGCUGCUACUACUGCAACCGCUGCUACUGGAGGAACAGUGGGAGCUAUAGUGGGGGCUAUACUUAUCUAAUUUCAUCUGGAUCCGAAUGUGACAUGCUCUUUUUCCAACCAACUUGUUAUUGAGGUGUUUUUGAAGAAUUGUGACUUCGCAAUUCAAAUAAAUCUUCAUGUUUCCCCAUUUCCUUAGCAUCAUUGCUAACUGUGGAAUCAGGAUAGUGACUGUAUAACCGCAAUGACCUAGUCAAAUAAUAUUCUGAAGGUAUAUGUGUUUCUUGCUGCUCUGUGCCUACACAAUGUAAUCAUCAAAACUAAAUUCAAUAAAAACUUUUAAGCAAA
Molecule: long non-coding RNA, 1150 nt
Organism: Gadus morhua (Atlantic cod)
Lineage: Eukaryota; Metazoa; Chordata; Actinopteri; Gadiformes; Gadidae
Exons: 4
Source: RefSeq, a predicted model, not a curated record